CGAAACGGACGCUCAAGCGUCGACCUCGACUUCCUGUGAGUGAAGAAGGCUUGCCUUCGGCGCCGUCGGCGCCGGGAACCCAUGCCGAACUGCCCAUGAGUCUGAGACGAAACAAGGUUUA
Molecule: unclassified non-coding RNA, 121 nt
Filed under: uncultured fungus
Lineage: Eukaryota; Fungi
Description: sequence contains ITS1
Source: RNAcentral